AUACGGAGGGGGCGAGCGUUGUUCGGAAUCAUUGGGCGUAAAGGGUGCGCAGGCGGCAUGCCAAGUCUGGUGUGAAAGGUCCCGGCUCAACCGGGGAAACGCAUUGGAAACUGGCGUGCUAGAGUACAGGAGGGGGAGUUGGAAUUCCAGGUGUAGGGGUGAAAUCUGUAGAUAUCUGGAAGAACACCGGUGGCGAAGGCGAACUUCUGGCCAUGUACUGACGCUGAGGCACGAAGGCGUGGGGAGCAAACAGGUUUAGAUACCCUGGUAGUCCACGCAGUAAACGAUGUACACUAGGUGGUGGGUGGUAGCACUCAGUACCGAAGCAAACGCAUUAAGUGUUCCGCCUGGGGAGUACGACCGCAAGGUUGAA
This 373-nucleotide ribosomal RNA is filed under the name uncultured bacterium. Its description in RNAcentral is "bacterial SSU rRNA". It matches the Rfam family "Bacterial small subunit ribosomal RNA", at positions 523 to 898 of the family's 1533-position model. The record is from RNAcentral.